AACGAACGCUGGCGGCGUGCUUAACACAUGCAAGUCGAACGAAGUAGCAAUACUUAGUGGCGCACGGGUGAGUAACACGUGGGAAUCUGCCCUAAAGUGGGGGAUAACAGCUGGAAACGGCUGCUAAUACCGCAUAAUCUCGAAAGAGCAAAGAUUUAUCGCUUUAGGAUGAGCCCGCGUCUGAUUAGCUAGUUGGUGAGGUAAUGGCUCACCAAGGCGACGAUCAGUAGCCGGUCUGAGAGGACGAUCGGCCACACUGGGACUGAGACACGGCCCAGACUCCUACGGGAGGCAGCAGUGGGGAAUUUUGGACAAUGGGCGCAAGCCUAAUCCAGCGACGCCGCGUGAAUGAUGAAGGCCUUCGGGUUGUAAAGUUCUUUUGGCAGGGAAGAUAGUGACGGUACCUGCAGAAUAAGCACCGGCAAACUCUGUGCCAGCCGCCGCGGUAA
Molecule: ribosomal RNA, 449 nt
Filed under: uncultured bacterium
Lineage: Bacteria
Description: partial 16S ribosomal RNA
Rfam family: Bacterial small subunit ribosomal RNA
Source: RNAcentral